GGCUGCCGAAGGUUCCGAUGGCCCAACGCCUGUGAGGUGGUUCUGUCAGAAUUAAAAGCAGUGCUCUGGAAGGACAGGUGACGGUUCUCCAAGAAUGUGGGAAAGCUCUUAGAAACUCGUCAGGAAUUCUGAGCCAGAUAGCACUGUGCUAAGGUGCUUCAAAGGUGAACAGUAAUGCAGAGUGUGUAGUAAAGGACUUGCUUAUUUGGGGAUUCUCUUACACAUUCUCCUUUCAGCUUUCACAGAUGAGGCAGACAAAACGAGUACUGUGGAGCAGCCUGAAUAUGAUUCAGCAAGAACAUCUUGCCUAUAAGCAUCAAUAGGAAGGGAGGCACAGAGAAACUGCAAGAUGAUGAAGGGAUAAGGCUGACAAUAGAUGAACACUGAAGCAUGUCUGAAACGUGGGAGGUCUCAUGGUGGAAAUAAUUUGUGAGAAGAUGCAUUUUUGAGUGAUGAUUCAGCAGGUUGAAAACUGAAUCUCAGUAUCAAGACUUCUGACAAAGGAAUUGCUGACACCAAAUCAGGACACAACCCAGCUGUGGACAAACAGUGCAGCCAUGAGGGGAAUAAGAAAGGGGCAAGAGUUUAAGCGUUACAGAGAUGGAUAAUGGGGAAUAUUACGGUUUUGAGUAGGGACUUCUUGGUGGGCCACAGCUUCUGGGGUUGGCCGUACAUGGAAGGAAAAAAUAAGCAUGUUUCUCAUGGACAUAAAA
Long non-coding RNA from Pezoporus flaviventris, 713 nucleotides. RefSeq lists it as uncharacterized. The record is from RefSeq and is a predicted model, not a curated record. Lineage: Eukaryota; Metazoa; Chordata; Aves; Psittaciformes; Psittacidae. The transcript has 2 exons.